UGGCUCAGGACGAACGCUGGCGGCGUGCCUAAUACAUGCAAGUCGAACGCGUCUCCGUUAAUGAUUUUAGGUGCUUGCACUUGAAAGAUUUAACAUUGAGACGAGUGGCGAACUGGUGAGUAACACGUGGGUAACCUGCCCUUGAAGUAGGGGAUAACACUUGGAAACAGGUGCUAAUACCGUAUAACAACCAAAACCACCUGGUUUUGGUUUAAAAGACGGCUUCGGCUGUCACUUUAGGAUGGACCCGCGGCGUAUUAGCUUGUUGGUAAGGUAACGGCCUACCAAGGCGAUGAUACGUAGCCGACCUGAGAGGGUAAUCGGCCACAUUGGGACUGAGACACGGCCCAAACUCCUACGGGAGGCAGCAGUAGGGAAUCUUCCACAAUGGACGAAAGUCUGAUGGAGCAACGCCGCGUGAGUGAUGAAGGGUUUCGGCUCGUAAAACUCUGUUGUUGGAGAAGAACAGGUGUCAGAGUAACUGUUGACAUCUUGACGGUAUCCAACCAGAAAGCCACGGCUAACUACGUGCCAGCAGCCGCGGUAAUACGUAGGUGGCAAGCGUUGUCCGGAUUUAUUGGGCGUAAAGCGAGCGCAGGCGGUUUUUUAGGUCUGAUGUGAAAGCCUUCGGCUUAACCGGAGAAGUGCAUCGGAAACCGGGAGACUUGAGUGCAGAAGAGGACAGUGGAACUCCAUGUGUAGCGGUGAAAUGCGUAGAUAUAUGGAAGAACACCAGUGGCGAAGGCGGCUGUCUGGUCUGUAACUGACGCUGAG
RNAcentral lists this ribosomal RNA (774 nucleotides) under Lentilactobacillus buchneri. Its description in RNAcentral is "bacterial SSU rRNA". It matches the Rfam family "Bacterial small subunit ribosomal RNA", at positions 20 to 750 of the family's 1533-position model. Lineage: Bacteria; Bacillati; Bacillota; Bacilli; Lactobacillales; Lactobacillaceae. The record is from RNAcentral.